UCGAGUGGAUUGCCUAACUCUGCCACCACAAUUCGAGCCCGUUCAGUUACCGCUGGCAGAGGCGGGGGACCCAAUUUUUUGGGCUUCGUUGAAGUCCUUGGGGUGAAGUCGUGGGUACGUAUCCGUACUGCCCCACGGCCGGGUGACUCCUACCCGAACCCGACAGCUUACCUCGCAGGCAUUGGGAGAGGCACA
This 195-nucleotide small RNA is filed under the name Crystallibacter crystallopoietes. Its description in RNAcentral is "Arthrobacter crystallopoietes c-di-AMP sequence". It matches the Rfam family "c-di-AMP riboswitch aptamer (ydaO/yuaA leader)". From Rfam's summary of the family: This family represents a conserved RNA structure found upstream of the ydaO and yuaA genes in Bacillus subtilis and related genes in other bacteria. The ydaO/yuaA element is thought to act as a genetic "off" switch for the ydaO and yuaA genes in its native state. It is believed that the element may be triggered during osmotic shock leading to activation of ydaO, a predicted amino acid transporter gene, and members of the yuaA-yubG operon which code for KtrA and KtrB K+ transporters. The record is from RNAcentral. Lineage: Bacteria; Bacillati; Actinomycetota; Actinomycetes; Micrococcales; Micrococcaceae.